CGUUAGACCGUUACUCUGCCGGCGACAAGUCAAUGUACCACAGUGACAUACAAGACUUCCGGUUACAGGUUUCAGAAUAAAACUGCAUUUGACGAACACUUCCGGAAUUCACUACUUCCUGUCUCAGACUCGACAGCCGCAUAGUGUUGAGUCUCACCAUGACAUCAUGGAGAUGAAACAGCCAAAGAACUGCUGAGCCAAUGCCUGGGCCAGACAGCGGCGUGUCAGCGGCGUCUGGUCUAUGAUCAUAGCGCUGUGGAGCAGAGCUCAGAGGGAACUUUGAUGACCCCCAUCUCUCCAUUAAUGUUCCCUGGUGCCUUGUUGUUGCUCAGCUUCCGUGUUCUCUGGUGGCUGAGAUAUUCCAUGUGCUCCAGCCUCGUGUUCAUUCUCGCCUCACCAAGAGCCUACCAGCUCCCUACCAGCUCCAUGCCACUAUGCCUGCGUUUUUGCU
Long non-coding RNA from Sebastes umbrosus (honeycomb rockfish), 451 nucleotides. RefSeq lists it as uncharacterized. NCBI's taxonomy places the organism in Eukaryota, Metazoa, Chordata, Actinopteri, Perciformes, Sebastidae. The transcript has 4 exons. The record is from RefSeq and is a predicted model, not a curated record.